Molecule: ribosomal RNA, 404 nt
Filed under: uncultured bacterium
Lineage: Bacteria
Also listed under: 1 other name
Description: bacterial SSU rRNA
Rfam family: Bacterial small subunit ribosomal RNA
Source: RNAcentral
UGGGGAAUAUUGCACAAUGGAGGAAACUCUGAUGCAGCGACGCCGCGUGAGUGAAGAAGUAGUUCGCUAUGUAAAGCUCUAUCAGCAGGGAAGAUAGUGACGGUACCUGACUAAGAAGCUCCGGCUAAAUACGUGCCAGCAGCCGCGGUAAUACGUAUGGAGCAAGCGUUAUCCGGAUUUACUGGGUGUAAAGGGAGUGUAGGUGGCCAGGCAAGUCAGAAGUGAAAGCCCGGGGCUCAACCCCGGGACUGCUUUUGAAACUGCAGGGCUAGAGUGCAGGAGGGGCAAGUGGAAUUCCUAGUGUAGCGGUGAAAUGCGUAGAUAUUAGGAGGAACACCAGUGGCGAAGGCGGCUUGCUGGACUGUAACUGACACUGAGGCUCGAAAGCGUGGGGAGCAAACAGG